GAAUCGCGAAAGGUAGUGUGAAUUGCAGAACCGUGAAUCAUCGAGUCUUUGAACGCAUCUUGCGCUCGGGGGCCAUUCCCCCGAGCAUGCCUGUCUGAGUGUUGGGAAUCUCUAUCUUGAAAAGGGAUGUGGGAUUGCUGGGCCUGGCUGACCAGGCGAAGCUCUCCUGAAAAAAAAAAGAUAAAACAGCUUUCUCGUGCGCGCGCCGCUGCCAAACGCCAGAAAGAGAGAGUACGAUGUUUACCGCCGCUACUCUUGCUUCUCUGUGUGUGUGUGUGCGUGUGCGUGUGGGCGAAAGCACUCUAUUCAUUUCGACCUCAGAUCAGGUAGGACUACCCGCUGAACUUAA
Molecule: unclassified non-coding RNA, 349 nt
Filed under: uncultured Basidiomycota
Lineage: Eukaryota; Fungi; Basidiomycota
Description: sequence contains ITS1
Rfam family: 5.8S ribosomal RNA (bases 1-104)
Source: RNAcentral